RNAcentral lists this ribosomal RNA (497 nucleotides) under uncultured bacterium. RNAcentral describes it as "partial 16S ribosomal RNA". It matches the Rfam family "Bacterial small subunit ribosomal RNA", at positions 28 to 507 of the family's 1533-position model. The record is from RNAcentral.
GAUGAACGCUGGCGGCGUGCCUAAUACAUGCAAGUCGAGCGAACGGACGAGAAGCUUGCUUCUCUGAUGUUAGCGGCGGACGGGUGAGUAACACGUGGAUAACCUACCUAUAAGACUGGGAUAACUUCGGGAAACCGGAGCUAAUACCGGAUAAUAUUUUGAACCGCAUGGUUCAAAAGUGAAAGACGGUCUUGCUGUCACUUAUAGAUGGAUCCGCGCUGCAUUAGCUAGUUGGUAAGGUAACGGCCUACCAAGGCAACGAUGCAUAGCCGACCUGAGAGGGUGAUCGGCCACACUGGAACUGAGACACGGUCCAGACUCCUACGGGAGGCAGCAGUAGGGAAUCUUCCGCGAUGGGCGAAAGCCUGACGGAGCAACGCCGCGUGAGUGAUGAAGGUCUUCGGAUCGUAAAACUCUGUUAUUAGGGAAGAACAUAUGUGUAAGUAACUGUGCACAUCUUGACGGUACCUAAUCAGAAAGCCACGGCUAACUACGUG